UUGGGACCCGGCUCCCCUCCAGUAGUGAUCUCCUCAUAUUCCUCCAGUGCUAUCCUAAAUGAACUCCACGUGUCUUUUUAAUUUUUAACGGACCAGAUGCAUUUUGCUAACCCAAUUAAUAUUAACCAUAGUUACCAGCAUUUCUCUAUCCUCUUUCUUCAGGCUCCCCUCCAGUGGUAAUCUCCUCCUGUCCCUCCAGUGCUAUCCUAAAUGAACUCCACUGUCCUGUUAAUCUUUUAAUGGACCAGAUACAUUUUGCUAACCCAAUGAUAUUAACUAUGAUUAAUAUUAUCUCUCACUUCGGUCCUUCCUUCUCACUAUUUCGGGGCGGAACGAAAGCAGUGAAGAAAGAGGAUAGAGAAAUGCUGGUAACUAUGGUUAAUAUUAAUUGGGUUAGCAAAAUGCAUCUGGUCCGUUAAAAAUUAAAAGGACACGUGGAGUUCAUUUAGGAUAGCACUGGAGGAACAUGAGGAGAUCACUACUGGAGGGGAGCCGGGUCCCCCGUCUUGAACCUACCAUUCCAAAAUGUACUCAAGUAGUUGAAGGCAUUGUUUGACUGUGCUUAGUUUGUUGCCUUAUUGAUUUAGUUAUUUUUGCAUACAAAUUAUUUGAAGUUAAAAGGACGAUGUCAGAUUAUAUUCAUUGUUGAAUAAAGAGAAAAAGUUCAAAUUUGCUCUUGUA
Molecule: long non-coding RNA, 681 nt
Organism: Lycium barbarum (goji berry)
Lineage: Eukaryota; Viridiplantae; Streptophyta; Magnoliopsida; Solanales; Solanaceae
Exons: 2
Source: RefSeq, a predicted model, not a curated record